Molecule: ribosomal RNA, 497 nt
Filed under: uncultured bacterium
Lineage: Bacteria
Description: partial 16S ribosomal RNA
Rfam family: Bacterial small subunit ribosomal RNA
Source: RNAcentral
GACGAACGCUGGCGGCGUGCUUAAUACAUGCAAGUCGAGCGAACAGACGAGCUGUUUGUUGCUCUGUCGUUAGCGGCGGACGGGUGAGUAACACGUGGAUCACCUACCUAUUGGCCUGGGCUAACUUCGAGACCCCGGAGAUAAUACCGGAUUAUCUAUUGAACUGCAUGGUUCUAUAGUGAAAGGAGGAUUUGCUGUCAGUUGUUGAUGGUUACGCGCCGCCGUAGCUAGUUGGUAAGGUAAUGGCUUACCACGGCAACGAUGCGGAGUCGCCCUGAGAGGGUGAGCGGGCACGCUGAAACUGAGACACGGUCCAGACUCCGACGGGAGGGAGCAGUAGGGGAUCGUCCGAAAGGGGCGAAAGCCGGACGGAGCAGCGCCGCGGGAGUGAGGAAGAUGUUCGGAUCGGAGAACUCUGUUAUUAGGGAAGAACAAAUGGGUAAGUGACUAGGCGCGUGUUGACGGUACCGAAACAAGAAGCCACGGCUAACUACGUG